UACGAAGGGAGCUAGCGUUGUUCGGAAUCACUGGGCGUAAAGGGUGCGUAGGUGGCGUGGUAAGUCGGGUGUGAAAUUUCGGAGCUUAACUCCGAAACUGCAUUCGAUACUGCUGUGCUUGAGGACUGGAGAGGAGACUGGAAUUUACGGUGUAGCAGUGAAAUGCGUAGAGAUCGUAAGGAAGACCAGUGGCGAAGGCGGGUCUCUGGACAGUUCCUGACACUGAGGCACGAAGGCCAGGGGAGCAAACGGG
This 253-nucleotide ribosomal RNA is filed under the name uncultured bacterium. Its description in RNAcentral is "partial 16S ribosomal RNA". It matches the Rfam family "Bacterial small subunit ribosomal RNA", at positions 524 to 776 of the family's 1533-position model. The record is from RNAcentral.